This is a long non-coding RNA of Scylla paramamosain (green mud crab), 1211 nucleotides long. RefSeq lists it as uncharacterized. The transcript has 3 exons. The record is from RefSeq and is a predicted model, not a curated record. NCBI's taxonomy places the organism in Eukaryota, Metazoa, Arthropoda, Malacostraca, Decapoda, Portunidae.
ACGUGAUACUCUCUCCUCGCCGUCUCCUCAGCCAUUCGCCCUGCGCCUGCUGAUGUGAUGUGACGGGUCUCCCGUUGUGUUGCAGCGGUGAGGUGGUGUUGCAUCUUUUCUCAGCGGGCGUGUUGUGGUGGAGUGCGGUGUGGAGGGAGAGGUGGAUAGGAGAUAAUUGGUGGGCUGUGUGUGGUGAGUGCCACAUUGUCUGUGAGGGACCCCCAGAGCCACACAGCACCAGCUGCAACAGCUACAGCAGCAGCAGCAGCAGCAGCAGCAGCAGCAGGAGGAGGAAAUGGCAUCCACCUUCUACCUCACCCAGUGUCACCGGGGCCUCCUCCUCCUCCAGCAGCUGGCCAGGGUGCAGGGACAGGAUGAGCAAGCAGGUGGUGACAGAGAGGGUGGCCAGCUUGUCCCUCCCUCCUGCCACCCAGCCACAGCACUGGCAGUUGCUGCAGUGAGACUGCCCAGGCACAAGUUUGUGCACGUGUCCAGGACGUGAAGGUGAUGGGAACGUGUCCUGUAGGAGGGAGCAGAGCUGUAACAGUACCCGAGUCUGCUGCUGUGCUGGGAGAAGGAGAAAAACAUCAGCAGUAGUUAGUAGUGGUAGUAGAAGUAUUCAGCAGUGGUGGGGCUCUGCUGCUGCUGCUGCUGUCAGUGGUGCAGCUGUUCACUCCUCCACAGCUGCUGCCUUCCCUCAACAUACUGUGUCUUCCCUCACCUACAAUGAACAACUAUGAACAAUACCUCUCGUGCAAUCAGGCAGCGCUCAGCUGUACUCACCGAUAGACUGACCACUAAGAAUUACCUGUGGGCCACAUGACAAGGCCCACGCCAGCCAGGCUUGGUUGCCAAUCAAUAACAACAACAACAACAACAACAACAUCUCAUGCAAUGAAGAACACUGAAUAACAACAACACCUCUCCCCUGCAUCAUCAACAAUCAACAACAUCUUAGUUUCACUGAUGCUGCCCCCCCCCCCCUCUCUCUCUCUCUCUCUCUCUCUCUCUCUCUCUCUCUCUCUCUCUCUCUCUCUCUCUCUCCUCACCUCAGGCCACAGCGCCACAGUAUGUCCCCCCACAGUAUGUUUACAAACCCACAGUGACUCCCCACAGCCCCUCACCAAUAAGUGACCCCCUCACACACACACACACACACACACACACACACACACACUGCAUCUUGUACAAUGGCCACAAUAAAGAAUGGACACACAAAA